CUGGCUAACCAGAAGCAGCUUCAGCACUUCUUGGGAUUCCCCAACUUCUAUUGAUGGUUCAUAAGAAACUACAGCCAGGUAGCAUCAGCACUCACUCGGCUUACCUAUCCCAAAGUUCUUUUUGUUUGAUCUGCAGAAGUCAACUCAGCCUUCAAGAAGUCAAAGGAGAGAUUCCCCUACCUGUUCAGAUUCCGCUCAAUCCCAGCCUCUAGUUUAUUGUGGCCUCAUCCAGCUCCAGAGUAGGUGCAGUAGUCUCACAACAAUCUGCUCCAAGAUGGAUGUGAGGGAAUAUAUUGCAGCCUGUACCACAUUUGUGUGUAACAAAACCAUGUGUCUACUACCAGAAACUCCCCACAGCAACUGAAACAGCUAAUCUGGUAGUUGAGCAUGAUUUCAUCUUUUCUGACCUCUGUACACUCCAGCUGAACCCACGGCUACAGCCCGGAUUGCGGGUGAUCACUCUGCAAUGUCUGUCUGUCGGAUCCUGGAUAUCAGUCAUUUGGACUGAGGCCUCCAAUAUGUCAUCAAUUAGGAAAGAUAUGGCCCCGAGGAGAGGACUUGGUAUCCCCGCUCACUGAUGUCGGAACCCACACUCAUUUUGAACUUCCACACAUAGGAUUGGGACAGUGCCCUCCGGACCUGCUACCUAUUUCCUGUUUUGGAGUCGGUGUGUGGAGUUACGUGGCGGAGCACAAGUGUGUGAGAGACCUUCUCUUUUUUGAACCUCCCUUGGACACCUGCAAGCCCACUUGAAUACCCGUGCUGAACUGAGAGUCCACUCCUUACCUGUGACACUACUACUGUAUGACGUCAUAUAAAUUUUCACUUAUUAUAAAGCUAAAAAUAAAUAUUUGG
Oreochromis niloticus (Nile tilapia) is the source of this 855-nucleotide long non-coding RNA. RefSeq lists it as uncharacterized. The record is from RefSeq and is a predicted model, not a curated record. The transcript has 3 exons. Lineage: Eukaryota; Metazoa; Chordata; Actinopteri; Cichliformes; Cichlidae.